AAAAAUUUAAAAAUUUGAAAAAU
RNAcentral lists this unclassified non-coding RNA (23 nucleotides) under human gammaherpesvirus 4 (Epstein-Barr virus). Its description in RNAcentral is "Human gammaherpesvirus 4 (Epstein-Barr virus) miscellaneous RNA". The record is from RNAcentral. Lineage: Duplodnaviria; Heunggongvirae; Peploviricota; Herviviricetes; Herpesvirales; Orthoherpesviridae.